UUUAAUAAAAUACCUGAUUGUUUAUGAUUAGGUGUUUUGUUUUCAACAUAUUUGGAAUUAACUUGCCUUAGAAAAACAGUCUCUAUUAUUUGAUGCUACAUAUAGACACAUGCCAUAAUAGGAAGGAAAAUUAGAAACAAACUCCUAAACCAAAUAAUUGGUUGAUGGCUGAAUUGUCAAGUAUGGGGUUGUGGAGGUGACUAUGAGUUUUGAUGUGUUCCUACCUGCUACUAAGGGUAAAUCAGGAACUGCAUUGAAAAUCUGACUACACUCCGUUUGGCACCAAUUACAUUGGUUGAUGACUCAAUUCACAUAAAUAAUAUAUAUAAACUCUAUGAGUAAGUUUGGUUUCGCUAGCACUGAACUUAGUGGUUAUUGUUUAAAGUCCCGCUUCACUAUUUAAAACAACUGUUGAUGGAAAUUAGAUAAAAAUGAAUGAAACAAUAACUUGUUUACCUUUGAAAUAGUUGUCACUAAGAGACAAAGUCUCGAGCAAAGUCAAAUUUCCAAUUUCUGUAGGUAUACUUCCCUCCAAGGAGUUGUUAAACAAUGAUAAAAACUUCAGCUCUUUGCACUUGAAUAAACUAUUUGGAAUUCUACCGGAAAUUUGAUUCCAACCCAAGCCCAACAUUUCUAGUUUUGACAAAUUGCCUAGAGUAGAUGGGAUAACACCAAUGAAGUUGUUAAGGUAUAAAUAUAAGCCUUGGAGUUCAGUGAAGCAACCAAACCAUGAUGGGAUUUCUCCAUUGAAGCUAUUGUUACCAAACUCCAAAUAUUUCAUCCGACGCAAAUUAGUUAACUCAAUGGGUAAAGAGCCUUGGAAACUAUUUUGAUGAAUAUCGAGCCAAGCAAGGAAAGAUAGAUUUCCCAAUUGAGAAGAAAUGGUGCCUGUGAGAUCCAUGCUUGACAAAUUCAGAGCAGUGACUCUAUAGUGUUUAGAUCCACAUGUGACACCAAUCCAGCUACAAACGGAGGUAGAAGUAGACCAAUUGGUUGUCAAGAAAAUGUGAGGAUCAUGAGUUAUAUGAGAUUUGAGUGCUAGAAGAGCAGAUUGAUCAACGGUGAUGCUAGAAUAUUUUGCAGACAAAAUAACCCCAAAGAUUGCGAAUAGCAGCCCAAACAUAAAUGGAGGGAGGAAGCUUGGUUUUGCCAUAAGGUUGGACAUGGGUGUAAGGCGCAUCAUAAGGAGAGAAACAACCGAGUUUAAUACUUUUCUAAUGCUAGUUCAAUAUUCUUUAAAUACUUUUCUAAUUUGAAAAUUCGUCACAUGAAUUGAUGAGUCCCAGUUGGUUGGAUGGACCUACAUUGGUGUUUUUCAUGCGUUGAGCCAUUAUUAAUCUCCCUCAUAUUGGGUUGCCUUUUACACUUUCUUCCAUUCAAACAUGAAUUUGUAAAGUGGCCUCCUUUUUCACCAUUAAUUUCACACAAGCUUUCCACAAGAAAUGUUAUUUUAAGACUGCAUUAUUGACGUUUGGGCCAAACAAUGAAUUAUUUUUCAUCUAUCCUUUCCAACUUUUAUCCUUACUUAAUUUCCAUUGUUGACACCAUUUUUUGGAUGAAAACGGGGUUAACUUGGGUUUUGAAAAAUGAAACGGGAGUCGCCACCAAUCCUUUUUGAUAAGGUGUGAUUGGGUCACCUCGAAAAGUGGUUGUUUUAAUAAACGAUUUGAUUUUAUUAAAACAACGAUUUUGGUCUGCGAAAUUCAGAAAAAUAGGUUCGGGAGUCGGUUACGCACGAGGAAGGAUUAGCACCCUCGAUACGCCCAAAAUUGGUACCUAGUUGAUUAGUUAAUGUCUUAAUGUCAAAAAUUGAGAACUUUGAAAAAUUUUAAAAAUACGAUCCUUGUAUUAAAACGUUGAAAAUUUUCAAGAAAAGGGGGAUAUUUCACGUUAAUCGAGAAAGAGAAUCAUAUCCAGUAAGUUAGAAUACAAUGUCUCAAAUUCCCGAUACGCGAAUAAAAAAUGCUUAUUUAAAAGAUAUUUUAGCCAUCUCGAAUUUAAAAAUGAGAUCACGACCAGUAAGUUAGGACGCGAUUUUUUUUAAAAUUCCCGAGAUCAUUUAAAAUUUGAGUUUGAAAAGAUUCGUGCAUUUAGAUUUAUCGUGAAAAUCGAAACCUAGUAAGUUAGGGUACGAUCCUCUCGAAUCUAAACACGAAAUAUUAUUUAUUCAAAACAAAUUUUGUUAUAUCGAAUAAAAUAAAACACGAAAAUCGUAAAAAAAUUUUGAAAGCAAAUUACAUUGUUAUUAUGCAUAGCAAAACCAUAAUGAAUAUGAAAGUAUAAAAAAGUAUAAAAAAAAUACGAGCAAUAGCAACGAGAUAAAAGGUCAAAUCUACAACAUACAAAAUAACAAAGCAUAAAAACGAAUACAAUAAAACAUUCAUUCAAAAUAAUAAUAAGAGUGUAAAUGAAUAAAUAAAUAAAUAAAUAAAUAAAGAAAAUGAAUAGAAUUAUAAAAAUGUAAAAAGAUAUAUGUAUGUACCUAUAUAAAAAUAUGUAAGUAUGUGUAUAUAUAUAUAUUUAUAAAAACUAAAAAUAUGUACGUAUAAAUAUAUUAUGUAAAUGUAUCCACAUGAAUAUAUAUAUAUAUAUAUAUAUAUAUAUAUAUAUAUAUAUAUAUAUAUACUUUGAAAUUAUAAAAUAAAACAUAUGUACUUGUUUUAAAAAUAUUAUAAAAAAUUAUAUGGAAGUAAGUAUAUACAUAUUCGUGAGAAAAAAUAUAAAUAUAAAUAUACAUAUAUAAAUAUAUAUCUAUAUAUAUAUAUAAAAUGAGUAUUUAUGUAUGUAUAAAAAAAUAUAAGUAUAUAUGUACAUAUAAAAAUAUACACGUUUUAAUAUAUAAAAAAAUAUAUAUGAAUAGGUAUAUAAAUAUUCGUGAAAGAAAAGUAUAAGAGAAAUAACAGUAAUAUUAAUACUAACAAUAAUAGUAAUAAUAAUAACCAUAAUAAUAAUAAUAGUAAACUAAUAAUAAUAAUAUUUAAAAUAAUAAUAAUAAUAAUAAUAACAUAAAAUUGCUAAAAUAUGGGCUAAAUCGAAAUAAAAAUGAAAAUAUAGGGCGAAAUUGAAAGAAAAAUAAAAUAAAAUGGACUAAAUCAAAAUAAAAACAAAAGAAACUGGGCGAAUUCAAAAUAAAAAGGGACUAAAUUACAAAGCGCGCCAAAAGGGAAGGGAUCAAAUGGGUAAAUAACCCAACCGCCUCAAAACGCGGCGUAGCAGUGGGCCAGAUUGAAAUAAAAUUAAAAUUAUAGGGCUAGAUUAGAAAUAAAAGGAAAUAGCGAAAAGGACCGAAUUGCAACGCGCUUUAAAAUUGAAGGGACUGAGCGCGCAAAUAGCCCAUCUAAAGAAAACGUGCGGAUCCUCCCCCUGGGUCGGGUCACCGCGCGGGUCAAAGGGCCUAAAACGGCGUCGGUUUGUUGAUUAUAUAAAUAUAAAAAACUAAAAAAAGGACUGCUCUCUCAUUUGUUAAAAGAAACAGAGAGAAAUACUCUCUCUUUUUCUCCCUCAGGCUCCGGCUCAGGAGAUAGCCCGGCCUAGGCUUCCGGCGAGUCCCCGCCGCAGAGCCACCGUGCGUGGCGGCCGGAGGUCCAAAAUGGACCUUUUCGGUCCCUUUUUUGAAGCCGAGCAUCCCUAGGGUAUAGACCUAAGGCCAAACCCCCAAAAAAGAAGCCGGAGACCCGAAGAACGGGGAAAAAACUGCUUCGUUUCCUCCCCUCUGGCGCGGCGCUGGUAAGAUUUCUUUUCCUUUUUAGUUUUAUUAUAUAAAAAGAAACAACAAGAAUAGAAAAGAAAAGAAAAAAACGAAAUAGAGUUUUAGAUCUAAGCAAAAAUGAGAGAAAAUCACCUCUCAAGUCUCUUGUUUUUCUAUUUCUUCUAGUUUUUAAUAUGUUUAUUCUCUUUAUUACACAGGUGAAAAAAAAAGAAAAAAAAGCCCUCUGAAUGUUACACUACAACCGGCUUUUAUAGCCUAUUUUUUUGUUACUGUUUUCGGUCAUUUUCUUGCUUCUUCCUCCUUUGCAGAUGCAAGUGGCGAUGGGACGGUGGCAGGUGCGGCGCGGAGUGGCAGUGGCAGAGGCCAAAAGUCGUCUGAGCUAGGGAUAGGGGGCUGCGGCGCUAGGCUAGGGUUAGGUCUGUUAGAGCUGGUAGCUGGGUUAGGUUUAGGUUAGUUGGGCUUGGUUUUGCUGGGUUAGGUUUGUUAGGGUUUGUAAUGGGCCCGGGCAAAUGAAAAUUGGGCUGUACAGCUGCCCCUCUUUGCUCGUUGUCGUGUAACGAUAACAUAGCAAAGACUAAGAAAGACCAAUUUUUGCCCGGUCUUGCCAAGUCUUGACUCUUUUUGACGCUUCUCUUCAAGUAGCUUUAUUUCAAUUCACUGUGUCUUGUCGCGUCAAUCCACUCCACUGCACUUCAAAAAGAUGCGUCCUAUAGCUUUAAUCUUCUUCGCAAAAACUUUAGGGGGACGAGAUUUGGUUUUAGUCUGCUUCACUAUAACAUCAAGAAGAUAAGACUUGUUGUGGUAGAUUUAAUCCGACCUACUGCAACUUCAGAGGUAUAGGAUUGGUUUCUUCCGUCUGCUCCACUGCAACUCCAGGGAGAUAAGACUGGAUGCAAUCUGCUCUACUGCAACUUCAGAGAGAUAAGAUCUGUGAUUUUAAUCCGCUUUACUGCAACUUCAGAGAGAUAGGAUUGGUUUCUUCUGUCUACUCCACUGCAACUCAGGGAGAUAAGGGUGGUACUUUCGAUCUGCUUGACUGCCAAAUACAGGAAGACAAGAUCUGUUAUCUUCGAUCUCCUCCGCUACCAAAUACAGGAAGACAAGAUCUUCUAUCUUCGAUUUACUUCGCUACCAAAUACAAGAAGACAAGAUCUGCUAUCUUCGAUCUCCUCCGCUGCCAAAUACAGGAAGACAAGAUCUGCUAUCUUCGAUCUACUUCGUUGCCAAAUACAGGAAGACAAGAUCCGCUAUCUUUGAUCUACUCCGCUGCCAAAUACAGGAAGAUAAGAUCUACUAUCUUCGAUCUACUCCGCUGCCAAAUACAGGAAGAUAAGAUCUGCUAUCUUCGAUCUACUCCGCUGCCAAAUACAGGAAGACAAGAUCUGCUAUCUUCGAUCUACUCCGCUGUCAAAUACAGGAAGACAAGAUCCGCUAUCUUUGAUCUACUCUGCUGCCAAAUACAGGAAUACAAGAUCUGCUAUCUUCGAUCUACUUCGCUGCCAAAUACAGGAAGACAAGAUCUACUAUCUUCGAUCUACUUCGCUGCCAAAUACAGGAAGACAAGAUCCGCUAUCUUUGAUCUACUCUGCUGCCAAAUACAGGGAGACAAGAUCUGCUAUCUUCGAUCUCCUCCACUGCCAAAUACAGGAAGACAAGAUCUGCUAUCUUCAAUCUCCUCCGCUGCCAAAUACAGGAAGACAAGAUCUGCUAUCUUCGAUCUCCUCCGCUGCCAAAUACAGGAAGACAAGAUCUGCUAUCUUCGAUCUCCUCCGCUACAAAAUAGAGGAAGAUAAGAUCUGCUAUCUUCGAUCUCCUCCGCUGCCAAAUACAGGAAGACAAGAUCUGUAACUUCAUUGAUCUGUUCUUUGGGGAACAUGACCUGUAUGUUCUAUUUUAUGAACCUAAUUGUGCCUAGUGAUUAGGAUGACAUGAUCAGAACGAAUCAAAUGCUUCUAACUAGAUAUGUAUGAAUGACAUUUGAAUGAAUGCAAAAUGUCAUGAAAAUGAUUCCUUAAUGCUUAGGUUAUCAUCACACAAAAGCUUAUUAAGGUUUUAUCACUGACGUACUACAACGCCUUCUUGCUCGUCUAGCAUAUCCAAAGAAACACUUAAUCUGAUUGCCCCCACUGUGAACGUCAAAGUUCAAUCCAUUGGGAUGUAAAAAUGUACCAUCAUUCUCCCACUGUAACCCAAGGGUAGAAAGAUAUGGCUUUUCUCAAUCUUCUCCUAUCGCAAUUCAAGGAUACAGAAUGUGAAGCUUUUUGGUUCUUUUACCCCAUUCCUCAGGUGUCAUACCAAAUGCUCAUGCACAAUUGCAAAAUUUUCUUCUCCGAGAAAACCUUUUCUUAUCACAUGGUGAUCAUUGCUUGUUUGUUCAUUGAAGCUUUGUCACUAACCCGGCAUCUUGUCAUUUUGUUCAAUCAAUGUUUGGACAACAAAAUCUGAAAGGAUAGUCUUUAACUUAGACUCUUUCUUCUUAGAUAUUUCACCUUUUAAACUUGGUGUUUUCUAAACAAUAGUCCUGUUUCAGGUUCCUAUAUUUUUUAGAAACUUCUAGAAUAAUAUGCAAAACUUCCAUUGUGAAAGUAUCAUCAUUCUAAUGCAACAUGCUUGCAAGAAAAAUAUAACGAUGGAUAAAAUAGAAUUGAUUUGAGAGCAUAGCUCGAAAUGAAUAAAUUAUCAAGGAUAGCAAGAAUAAAAAAAGGAAUUGAUUGUAACAUGUAUCUUGAAAAAGAAAGAAGUAUUCCAAGAAUAACAAAUUCAAUAUAUAAAUAAUAUGAAUGUCAGGUGCCCCAGAAUCGCAGCUUGAACUUCUCUGUACAAACUUUCUGAAGACCUUUCUGAGUUUGACAUGUGUUUAGGAAAUCUACAGGACUUUGUGGAUGCCCCAAGAUGUCACCUUACCCUUUCAGGUAUAGCAAGAUCACCACAUGCCCCAUUCUGAUCAAUAUUUGAGCCGCCCUUUUCGGGUUUUCAACUCAAAUCCCCUUUGGCCUAAGAUGCCCUUUGCAGGUUUUUCCCUUAGCCUCUCAAUUUUCAUUUUUUCAUUUUUCAAUUUUUUUCAUUUUCAAUUUUUUUUCAUUUUUUUGACUCAAAGUACCCUUUGCAAGUUUUCACCUUGGUCCUUCCUUCUUCUUUAAACGAAGUGUUUCUUAACUGGAUCCGAGUUUAUAGGAUUGGCAAUCUCACUCAAGAUCGAAGUGUUUCUUAACUGGAUCCGAGUUUAUAGGAUUGGCAAUCUCACUCAAGAUCAGUGCUCCUCUGAAAAUGAUCUUCUUUACAACAUAGGGACAUUCCUGGUUUGACAUUCAUUUCCCUUUAGAAUCCUUUCGUUAAGGAAGAAUCUUUUUAACAUCCAGCCUUCUCGUGGAAUUCUCUAAGAUGAGCCUGUUUAUUAUGGGCUCAUAUCAUUUAUUUCUAGUACAUCCGACCCUGAUGAAUAGCUUUUAACCCUUUUCCUAGGGCCAACUGAUCACAUCGUGAUUGGAUCCCUCCAACAAGCAAUGAGGGGAUUUUAAUAGGUAAAACUACCUCAAUCCUGUAAACCAAAAAGAGAGGUGUUGCCCCAGUACAGAUGUUCGACAAACAAUGAGGGCAAAUGAUAAUUUCUCAUGCCAGUCCUUGUUCACCUCUAGGUAAUUCGGUGACAAAAUGUGGUGUCUGCUUCUAAAUUGAUUUCAGACCUCAGUUAUCAUGCUAUUAUUUAAGUUUAAUGCAUUUUCCAAUACCAUCCUCUCUGAAAUUCUGUAUCGGUAUAGGAUGACCUUGAUCCGUGAAGUAGCCUCUCAAAAUGAAGCAAUGCCCAUUAGAAGUCUUCGAUAAUGGUGAUGUCCAUGCCCAAUUUUACUCAAAAUUUGAGUCGCCCUUUUCGGGUUUUCAACUCAAAUCCACCUUUGGUCAAAGAGCCCUUUGCGGGUUUUCGCCUUGACCUCUCCUUUUUUCUUUUUCUCUUUUUUUUUUUACUUUGAUUGAUUGAUUUUUUUUUUGCUUUUGAUUUUUCUUUUUUCUUUCCCCCCUUUUUUUUAUGGAAUCUGAACUCAUAAGGUUAGGCAGGUCCUUGUUAUCCUUUUCGAAGGAUCUUCUUUGAUCCAAUUUCCUUCAUUGAGCCUUCUAGGGCGAAACUACAACAUAAAACUUUUGAUCUUCCUCUUUAAUCAGGAUAAAAUCCCACAGAACUUGAAGAGAUAAAAGUUCAACUUCAAAUGGGCAAAGCUAUGCUGAGUCAACGAGAGAGGCAUUGCCCCGACAAAGAAUUGCAUCGUUCGCACUAUAAAUUUCUGACACCAUGCUGUUGUGCAGAUUUCAUUAUCAGCGAUUAAUCUGGGCAUAUCCUGGUAUGAUCAUACAAAGACAUCUUUGAACUCUAGAGGUGACUCAACAAGGUCUUGCUUCGUCUCUGCGGUCAGGUCAAUUCUAAUCUUUACCACGCUCACAAUUUCUAAUGAUUCCUUGUGAGGUAUGAUCUGUUUAUCCUCUUGUUCUACCAUCCUCAACAAGCUUGGAGAUAAGCUACGAUCUAUGUCAUCUUCAAAGUCGUGAGAUCCCUCUAAACACAUGUCUCGCUCAAAAGGAGAUUCAAAGUCUGUAGUAGUGUCAUUCAUGUCGUUGAUAUUCAGGGACCUAUUGUAGGUACAAGAAAAUAUACAAAGAAUGUAUGAAUUUAAGAAUAAUUAUCUGCACAGUAUGAUUAUGAAUGAAUGAAAGAAUGAUUUGGAUGAAAGAAUAAAAAAAUAAUCAUUCAUAAGAAAUGAAAGAAUAUUGGUUCAAAAGUUCGCAAAGAUGCAUUGCAUUAAAAUAAUGACGUUCAGAUAUGAGCCUAUUUCAUGAAAGACUUCUUGUUGCCUUUAGGCUGAAAGCAACAAGUGUGUUCUAAAUAUUACUCUGGGUAGGCUACAAAGAUUUCUUCUGCAGUCUGAUUAUUUAGAACACUCCCAAGUUUAUAAGGGCGAAUAUCUAAUGAGGUCCCUUCUCCAGUUGCCUCUUCGUAUCCGGCACUGAUGUAAACGUUUCCCAACAUUUCUUCAUUCAUCGCAUUCCUUUCAUUAUCCGUAUGAUUGAGUAGCAGACUUUCUGUACUGAGUGAAUCCUCAAAUUUGACAAUGCCCAUAUUGAUAAACCUUUCGACUAGCUUUUUAAAGGCAGUGCAAUUUUCUAUAGAAUGCCCCGUAAUUCCUGCAUGAUAGUCACAUUGCGCAUUUGUGUCAUACCAUUUGGGUUACGGAGGUUGUAAAGGCUUCAAGUAAAAAGGGGAGACAACAUGUGCGUCAAAUAAACUCUGAUAUAGCUCCUAGUACAACAUUGGGUUUGGUGCAAAUUGAGACUUCUUAAUGCUUUGCUUUAUGCCAGAUUCUUGUCUUGGGGAUAUCUGAUGGCCAGUAGCAAAUGACCUUUGCUGACCUAUGGUAAUCGGCUUUGAAUAACCCUCGUUAUACCUUCCUUCAUUAUUCACCUCAUUUUUCCUCUUCCUCGGAACCUUUGAAGUAUUGCUUUGGGAGUUCCGCUCUUGCCCUUUCUGUUUGUAACGGUCUUCAAAUUUUUUUGAGAACUCUAUUCUCUCCUGUUUUGUUUCUGCUAGAUCAUUAAUGACAACAGGAUUAGUUAGAUUGCCUCUAGGAUUGGAAUCUGAGCUCGUCGCGAAAUUCACCGCUGUCAAGGUAUUGGUCUGGUAUUGUGGUCGGACGUUAACAGUUACCCUUUGUGGAUAUGCAUUUGGUUGUGCUUGGAUGUUGGUUGGGGUAAAGUUUGGAAGAUAUGCAGGACCUUCAUUAUCAUUCCCAAAGUGGACCACUGGGUUUUUUCCUUUUUCCAACCUCAUAUCCAAUAACUGGGUUAACUGGCUCCUCAGAUUUCUUUGGACUUCUAGCAUCUGAUCCUUCAUAUCUUGCUGAAACUUGGCCAAUUGCUCUAGCAUCUGUAUUUGCAUUUGCUCUAAUCUCUCCAACCUUUGGUCCAUUCAUUUAGUUUUUUUGUUCGGGUACCACAAGAAUGUUGGUUUUCCAAGUUAACUGAAAUAAUUUUAUUCAAUUAGAGUCUUUUAAUGGUCCUUAAUGCACAUGAUGUUAUGUAAUGCAAAUGCAUGAAUGCAAAAAGAGACAUUGAUUCUUGGUUCAAUUCUUAUUAGAACAACUUUACUAGAAAACAAAUCUUUUUACAUAAAGCGGAUAUAUAUACGGCCUUAUCCUUAUAUUCUAAGACAACGAUCCUUUUCUUCCUUCGCGCGUUAAGAUGAAUCUCACGAACUCUUUAAAAGGGACGUCUCUUUUAUCUUGUUUUUGCUUGAUCCGGGCCGCGACUCGUUGCUUGCUCAUCCUCGUUAUGCUCAUUGGCUUCUCUUUAAGAAAGUUCAGCGGCUCUCGAAUAAUCUUUGUCACCUUGAAUCCUCGGGCAACGGAGCAAUAGUUGUGUUGUCCUCUAUUAAACUAUCAUCUUUCUCUUGUUGUGUUUUCUCGGAACAUAUUCGGGCAACCGUAUUAUUUUCCACUUUAUCAAAAGACCCAUUUUCUUAUGACAAGCUCUCUAUUUAACAACCGAACGUGAAUCAACACCUCUUUUUACGAUGAAAACGCAAUGCAAUCAUCAAAAAAAGGAAAAUAGGUUAGUACAAAGCAAAAGUAGGCAAGAAUAAACAGAACACCUAUUUGGGUAAAUACUAGGGGUUCAAUGUGGUUCUAGCUAGGGUGGACUCCUAAGGUUCACUACAUGAGGUUUGGUUCUAAAGUAAGGGUACCCGAACCAGCAGAUUCCUCGAUCCUCACCCAUUAUUGGCUCAUAUAGAUCGAGUUCGGUUCAGGGGAAUACAUUUCCCUAUGGCUACAAGGAGAUGAAAAUCUCACGAAGACAUAGGUACGGAUGUAUCCCAAAAGCGAUCCACUAUCCUGCACGGAGGUGAAAACCUCACGAAGGAGUAGCUUUUCACUCCCACUUAAAAGGUGUGACCAACGGUCAUGCAAUGCAAUGUGCAGAGAUAUAAAAAUUUAAAAUACAAAACAUGAUAAAAACUAUAACUCAAAACAAAUGAAAUGCAAUGAGAGGAUCGUAUAUUUAAAUCAAAAUUUCAACUUUCGACAAAAAGACAAGAAAUAAUCAACUCGUGGCUUGACUCACUUAUUUUAAAAUCCCCAGUGGAGUCGCCAAGCUGUUGACACCAUUUUUUUGAGGAAAACGGGGUCAACUUGGGUUUUGAAAAAUGAAAUGGGAGUCGCCACCAAUCCUUUUUGAUAAGGUGUGAUCGGCUCACCUCGAAAAGUGGUUGUUUUUAAUAAACGAUUUGAUUUUCUUAAAACAACGAUUUUGGUCUGCGAAAUUCAGAAAAAUAGGUUCGGGAGUCGGUUACGCACGAGGAAGGAUUAGCACCCUCGAUACGCCCAAAAUUAGUACCUAGUUGAUUAGUUAAUGUCUUAAUGUCGAAAAUUGAGAACUUUGGAAAAUUUAAAAAAUACGAUCAUUAUAUUAAAACGUUGAAAAUUUUCAAGAAAAGGGGGAUAUUUCACGUUAAUCGAGAAAGAGAAUCAUAUCAAGUAAGUUAGAAUACAAUGUCUCAAAUUCCCGAUAUGUGAAUAAAAAAUACUUAUUUAAAAGAUAUUUUAGCCGUCUCGAAUUUAAAAAUGAGAUCACGACCAGUAAGUUAGGACGCGAUUUUUUUUAAAAUCCCGAGAUCAUUUAAAAUUUGAGUUUGAAAAGAUUCGUGCAUUUAGAUUUAUCGUGAAAAUUGAAACCCAGUAAGUUAGGGUACGAUCCUCUCGAAUCUAAACACGAAAUAUUAUUUAUUCAAAACAAAUUUUGUUAUAUCGAAUAAAAUAAAACACGAAAAUCGUAAAAAAAUUUGAAAGCAAAUUACAUUGUUAUUAUGCAUAGCAAAACCAUAAUGAAUAUGAAAGUAUAAAAAAAUAUAAAAAAAAUAUGAGCAAUAGCAACGAGAUAAAAUGUCAAAUUUACAACAUACAAAAUAACAAUGCAUAAAAACGAAUACACUAAAACAUUCAUUCAAAAUAAUAAUAAUAGUGUAAAUGAAUAAAUAAAUAAAUAAAUAAAUAAAAUGAAUAGAAUUAUAAAAAUGUAAAAAGAUAUAUGUAUGUACCUAUAUAAAAAUAUGUAAGUAUGUGUAUAUAUAUAUAUUUAUAAAAACUAAAAAUAUGUACGUAUAAAUAUAUUAUGUAAAUGUAUCCACAUGAAUAUAUAUAUAUAUAUAUAUAUAUAUAUAUACUUUGAAAUUAUAAAAUAAAACAUAUGUACUUGUUUUAAAAAUAUUAUAAAAAAAUAUAGGGAAGUAAGUAUAUACAUAUUCGUGAGAAAAAAUAUAAAUAUACAUAUAUAAAUAUAUAUAUAUAUAUAUAAAAUGAGUAUUUAUGUAUGUAUAAAAAAAUAUAAGUAUAUAUGUACAUAUAAAAAUAUACACGUUUUAAUAUAUAAAAAUAUAUAUAUGAAUAGGUAUAUAAAUAUUCGUGAAAGAAAAGUAUAAGAGAAAUAACAGUAAUAUUAAUACCAACAAUAAUAGUAAUAAUAAUAACCAUAAUAAUAAUAAUAGUUAAAAUAAUAAUAACAAUAACAUAAAAUUGCUAAAAUAUGGGCUAAAUCGAAAUAAAAAUGAAAGUAUAGGGCGAAAUUGAAAGAAAAAUAAAAUAAAAGGGACUAAAUCAAAAUAAAAACAAAAGAAACUGGGUGAAUUCAAAAUAAAAAGGGACUAAAUUACAAAGCGCGCCAAAAGGGAAGGGAUCAAAUGGGUAAAUAACCCAACCGCCUCAAAACGCGGCGCAGCAGUGGGCCAGAUUGAAAUAAAAUUAAAAUUAUAGGGCUAGAUUAAAAAUAAAAGGAAAUAGCGAAAAGGACCGAAUUGCAACGCGCUUUAAAAUUGAAGGGACUGAGCUCGCAAAUAGCCCAUCUAAAGAAAACGUGCGGAUCCUCCCCCUGGGUCGGGUCACCGCGCGGGUCAAAGGGCCUAAAACGGUGCCGGUUUGCUGAUUAUAUAAAUAUAAAAAAGGACUGUUCUCUCAUUUGUUAAAAGAAACAGAGAGAAAUACUCUCUCUUUUUCUCCCUCAGGCUCCGGCUCCGGAGAUAGCCCGGCCUAGGCUUCCGGCGAGUCCCCGCCGCAGAGCCACCGUGCGUGGCGGCCGGAGGUCCAAAAUGGACCUUUUCUGUCCCUUUUUUGAAGCCGAGCAUCCCUAGGGUAUAGAGGCGCUCAUGGGCCGGGCGGCCCGGCCCGGCCCGAGGGCCCGCCCGAAAUAUGGGAGGAUUUAGGUAAAAAUAUAGGCCCGAAAUAUGGGCUUGGGCAAAAAAAUGAGGCCCGAUUUAAAAAUCGGGCCGGGCCUCGGGCACCACUUUUUUGACCCGGGCCCGGCCCGGCCCGGUCCGGCCCGAAUAUAAUAAAUAUAUUUAUUUUUUAAUUUUAAAAUACUUUUAAAAUACUUUUUAAAAUUUUUUAAUUUUAAAAUAUUUUAAAAUACUUAUUUUAAUUUUUUAAUUUUAAAAUAUUUUUAAAAUACUUUUUAAAUUUUUUAAAAUUUUAAAAUAUAUUUUUGUAUUUAUUUAAAAAUAGGCCGGGCCAGGCAGGGCCCGGGCUUAUGAAUUUUUUCCCGGGCCGGGCUUGGGCAAAAUUUUAGGCCCAUAUUUCGGGCCGGGCCGGGCCCGGGCCUAGAACCCCGGCCGAAUUUUUUUAUGGGCCCGGCCCGAACCCGGCCCGGCCCGACCCAUGAGCACCUCUACUAGGGUAUGGACCUAAGGCCAAACCCCCGGAAAAGAAGCCGGAGACCCGAAGAACGGGGAAAAAACCGCUUCGUCUCCUCCCCUCCGGCGCGGCGCAGGUAAGAUUUCUUUUUCUUUUUAGUUUUAUUAUAUAAAAAGAAACAACAAGAAGAGAAAAGAAAAGAAAACGAAAUAGAGUUUUAGAUCUAAGCAAAAAUGAGAGAAAAUCACCUCUCAAGUCUCUUGUUUUUCUAUUUCUUCUAGUUUUUAAUAUGUUUCUUCUCUUGAUUACAAAGGUGAAAAAAAAAGAAAAAAAGCCCCCUGAAUGUUACACUACAACCGGCUUUUAUAGCCUAUUUUUUUGUUACUGUUUUCGGUCAUUUUCUUGCUUCUUUCUCCUUUGCAGAUGCAAGUGGCGAUGGGACGGUGGCAGGUGCGGCGCGGAGUGGCGGUGGCAGAGACCAAAAGUCGUCGAGCUAGGGAUAGGGGGCUGCUGCGCUAGGCUAGGGUUAGGUCUGUUAGGGCUGGUAGCUGGGUUAGGUUUAGGUUAGUUGGGCUUGGUUUUGCUGGGUUAGGUCUGUUAGGGUUUGUAAUGGGCCCGGGCAAAUGAAAAUUGGGUUGUACAUCCAUUUUCAAUUAUUCUUUGUUUGAUAAAUCAAUCAAAUCAUGUGCUGCUAAAUUCUACUUUAAAUCUUGUUCCGCCAUUCAUCCGUUGGUAAACAUCAUUCGUUUUCCAUUUGUUAAUAGGCUUUUAUCGUGUUCAUUUAACUACAAUUUUUUUUUUUAAAUUUUGUCACUAACAUUUUUGAUCUAUUAUGUUUUAAUAACUCCCAUUUAAACCAUUUUCAAAUCCUAUCAAUUUAAUCUUAAUUCUAAAUAAAUAUUUAACAAAUUCAACCUUUCACAUUUACAAAUUCUAUUUAUAAAAAAUAAUUUAUUAUUUUUAUAUUUUAAAUAAGAAAACAAGCAUAAACAACUUAUAUCAUAAAAUCAAGAUUAACAAUUUAUUUUUUAUAUUAUUGCUUCUCAGUUUUCAAUUUUAUGGCUUUUAAUUAAUUUCUAUUCAAUAUUAUAAUUUUAGUUAGGACUAAAUUGAAUAAAAAUUUAAAAUUUAAAUAUCGGAGUUUGUUUAUUAUACCUUAUAUAUAGAAUGUCAAAAUAAAAGAGUCUUUGUUUGUAUGCUAGCUGUACAAAUACACAACCUCGUUGUGUUACCAAGCUAGUGAGUGAUCUGAGAAGCAUGUCAGUUCCGAAUGAAAACAAAUAUAUUUUGUAUUUUAAAGGUUGAAUUAUAUGGUGGGUCUUCUAUUUUGGUCAUCAAUUUUUUAAUUUUUUUAUUUAGUAAUUAAAUUAGUUGAAAUUAAUAUUUUUAUCACUGAACGUUAACAAUGGUUUGAAAUUUGAUCUAAGUGAUGACAUGAGUUUUUUUAUUGGUCUAAUAAUAAAUUUAGCCCUCUAAUAUUUAUAUAUUCUAUCAAUUUGAUCCUAAUUAUAAAAAAACUUCUACAAGUUUAGCUUUCAAUGUUUACAAAAUUUGUCAUUUUAUUUCAAAUUAUAAAAAGUUUAAUAAAUUUAGCCCUUAUGACAAAUUUUUGUCUCUUUUAACCCUUCAACUAAUGUUGUUUGUCAAACCACCUCAAAAUAGAUGUUGACAUGGUAGUUCACAUCCAUGCUAUGUCAUCAAUUGUUUAAAAAAUUAAAAAAUUUAUAGAAAAUUAUUUAAAAAUUCAAAAACAAUUAUAAAGUGUUUAAAAUUCAAAUGUAUAUAUAAAUUAUUAAAAUUUCAAAAGAAAUAUAUAAAAUAUAAAAAAAUAGUAAAAAUAUUAUGAAGCUCACAUUUCUAAUAGGUAAAAGAACUUUUCUAAGUUUUCACUUAAAUAAACAAAGCUCUCUUUUCUUCUAACCCUGGGAGCCGCUAUUACUAACAUUGACACUAGUGGCUCCUUCCAAUCACUAUCAAUGACCUUUCAAAUCUAAAAUCCUAAAAUAUCAACACCAGCACUAAUGGCAUAUUUCAAACAAGGUUGAGACAAGUUACCAAAUCCAAAAUCUAGAAAUAUCAAUUGACAAUGCUUUUAACCAACAUGUCAUUGGAUUCUUUUUAUCUCUUUUUUCACCAACGCUCAAUCGGUUAUUGUAAAUGGCUUUAUUGAAAAAAGGUUAAAUGUGUUUUGUUAGAAUGAUUGAUUAUAGUAUUGUUUUUAUUUUGGUUGAAUCAGUUGGUUUAAAAUUUUUAAAGUGAUUGAUUUCUAUUUUUAGUGUUUUUAUUUUAGGGUUGUGAGUUUUUGAGAUUAAUGAGCAAAAACUAAAACUGAGACUAUUGAUUGUGUUGAUUAAUGUUAGGGAUAAAAGUUUUUGGUUUUUGUUCAAUUUUGUACUACUUUUAACUGAGAUUAAAACUGAAAAAAAAAUCAAUUUUCAUUCAUCAGUUUAUCCAAGAAAAAUGUUCUUAGUGUUUGAUUUCUAUUUUUUGUGUUUAAUUGAAUAAGUGGUUUUAAAAAAUUUCAAACAAUUUAUUUUGUUCACUUUCAAUUUUCAUUCAGGCUUGAAUUUUGCUUUUUAUUUUAUUUUUUUAUUUUUGUUGUGCAUUGAUGAAGUUUUUAGAGGCUAUGGGUAUAUUAAACAAAGAAAAAAAAUGGUGUUAAUAAUUAAAAAAUUAAAACUUAUAAAAUAAUUAAGAAAUUAAAUAAAAACAGGAAAAAAUUAGUGAAGUAGCCGUAAAGGUAGAAUGGGAAGGAGGUGCUGGUGCAUGUGGUAUGAUGAGUCGCAGUUGGUUGGAUAGUGUUUUUCAUGCGUUGAGCCAUUAUAUUGGGUUGGUUUUCACACUUUCUUCUAUUUAAACCCGAAUUUUUAAAGAAUGACCACCUUUUUCGACCAUUAAUUUCACACAAGAAAAGUCAUUUGAAGGCUGCAAUGCCAGCACCAUUAUUCACGUUUGGGCGAAACAUUGAAUUAUUUUUCAUCCCUCCAUUGCUUCCACUCUCUAUCCUUACUCUACUUUUUGUAUAUUUGAAAUCAAAUUCUUAAUUUUAAUAAUAUGUAAACCAUAAAUAAAUUAUUUUUAUCAAUAAUCAUAAUAUCCAAUGCUUAAACUAAUUUAGUUUAUUUGCUCUGAGAAAUAUCUAGAGACUAGAAUGUUCCCCAUUUUCUGUCAAUCAAGAAAGAAUAUUUGAAUACAUAAGAUUUUAAUAAUGUAUAUUGUUUCAUAGAUGCAUGCAUUUGCAUUUAGGAAAUCCAAAGCAGAACAUCAUACCAAUCACAAACGCAACAUCAAAGCAAAAAACAGAAUAGUAAACAAAUCUUCAGCAUGCCAUCACCCUCCCAUGCUUUAGCAAUAGUAAACACAAUUUUUAAACUACUUUCUAAGUCUCAUUUUAAAAUAUUUAACCCUAAUCUUUUAACAACUAUUUUUUCAUAUUUUAAUAUUAGUUCAAAAUUUUUUAUUAAAAAACUAUUUUAAUAUUUUUAGAGCUUGUUCACUUAUUUUUAUAAAUUUUGUAAAAUUAAUCUAUGGAUUUUGUAAAACAAAUUGAUGGAGCUUUGGGUUUAGUUGGUAUUAAAUGAUGAAGAGAAAAUUGAAUUUUAAAGUCCCAAAAUACUAAAUAGCAAGACAGCUAUUUUUUUCCUCAGCCAAUAAAUAUAUUUAUUGAAAAUAAAGACAAAAUAUUGCCAAAAAAAGUUGCAAAACCCAAACAAAAGAACACAUCACGUAGGCAAAUACAAAGGACAAAUCACCAAACCAAAGCUCCACAACACCAAAACAUGAUGACUUGUAAACUUCUCAUAACAAAAAAAGAAAAAAAGAGAAAAGAAACUCAACCACCAUUUGAAGCCUAUGAAAUUUUCUUUUUAGAAAAAGAAAAAGAAAAAGAAAAUCUCAAAUCUAACGAAGUAUUAAAUUUUACUAUCAAAAUAGUAGAAUAUUGUCUUACAUGUAUAGGUUUAAAUUUAAGUUAUUUGUGAUGUAUACUCAAGUAAAUAAUAAUGUGAUUUCAAAUCAGUUAAACAAAUUUAGGGUAAUUUACACCAACAGCCACUCAAUUUUGGGAUAGUUGACAAAGCAACCACUUAGGUUUCAAUUCAGUCACUUAACUUUCAAAAAAUAACAAAGCAGUCAUUUUAACCAUUUUCUGUUAUAGACGUAACGAAAAGGUGACAUGGCAAAUGAUGGAUUCCUUGUUGUCAUUAACCAUCUAGUUGGUCGGUUAGCUCCAAUUUAAACAGCCCAUUUAGCACUAAUUUAGGGUUUAGGCAGUAGAAGAAGAAGAAGAGGAGGAGGAGGAGGAGGAAGAGGAGGAGAGAAAAAAUAGAGAUGCCGACUGUGACUCCGGUGUGCUAUUAUAGAAACCCAACAAAAUUAAACACGUCUUGGUCUAAUGACAACCCAGGUAGGAGGUUUUUUGGGUGUAAGAAGAUUGGGAGUGGGUUUCAAAAACCAUGUCAUUUUUUCACCUGGUUUGAUCCACCACUGAUGCCCCAUGUUCACAAAUUUUGUUGUUGGGUCUUCUGAAAAAGUGAGGACAUUGGAGGAUGCAAGGUGGAGGGAGAGAAAAACAUGGGUUUUGGUGCUUGUAUUUGUAAUAUUGUUGUUGUUUUUUAAACCCUAAACCAGCUUAUGUGAUAGCUGAUGUUGUUGUUGUUAACACUAAAAACCAACUUAUGUGGCUGUUGGUAUCCUGUUUUGUUAUUCAUUCAUGGUUAGUGGAAGCUAAGGGUCCUAAAUGUAAUGGUUUGUAAAGGGUAGAAGUUUGCUUAUGGACUUGAAAGUUGAAAGACUAAUUGUAAUGGGAGAGUAUUUGGUUGUUGUAAUGGUCUGGUAUUCUCACAUAUUUGUAUUUCAUUUCAUUAGAUUUUCUGAAUGUUUAAUCUUCUUUUAAAACUUGAAAGAGUAUUUAGUUAUUGGUUUUUAUUUUCUUACAUUGCAUGGAUCAAUGCUUAUAUGUUAGAAGAGAUAAAACAGAUGGAAAAAAGACAGAAACACAUUAGUUAGCAUUAAACUUCUUUCAUAUAUUAAGGGCAAACUAUUGCCAAAUUCGCCUACAAUUAAACAUAUUUGAAUUGUAGGCAACUUUACAAAAUAUUUCAGUGGCUAUAUACCUAAGUUUAGAUAACAGUAGCAAUCAUAGGCAAAUUUACAAAAAAUAAUCUGCCUAAGCUAAGAAAUUAGUUGGUGUGUCGUUGAAAGCACCAAAUAUAUCCUAACCCUAAAUAACAAAAAGAUAUAGCAUAAGGGGAGUAGGGUCAAAUCCUCAAGGAUUGGAUCAAUACAGCUUAUUGUUCCUCGAAAUCCUGGGCAUAGUCGUGCCCAAGAAAAAUGUCUGACCUGGAAAAAAAAUUUUAAAAAAUAGAAUUAAGAGUAUGGACGAGUUGAAAUUAAAUAAAUUGAAACUGUAAUUGUGAAAAGAAGUAGAAUUAAGAAAAAGGGAUUUUUCAAUUGAGGGAUUCUAGCAUCUGGUUAUCUCGAUCCUCCUUUGGUUCAAUCAUAGGCUUUUAGGUGAUCUUUCUCAUGACUGAAUAAGCUUGUUAUAGUGGAAGAAGACACCUAUAACCACCAGCUCCACUUAUGUUAUAGCUUUACGAUCUAGAGGAACCUGACUCUAGCCAACCGUCACUUUCGUGGGACCGUCUUACACUAGAUCAUCGUUUCUCAAUGGCGAAUUCGUCUCUUGGGCUAGACUACCUCUGAUGCAGUAAGUUAGUGAACUAACUGUGAGCCUUUCCAAAACAUACAAAGCGGCCGCCUUUGUACAAGAUGAAAAUAUUACUUUUGGAAGGACAUGGAUGGAAGCGUUAGUCCCAUAAUGCGGAGAAAUGAUGAAUACUCGUUGAGAAGGAUUAAGUACGGGUUCUAAGCCUAAUGAACUCAUUUUGAGGAAUCUUGAUAACAUUUGGCUAGACAAGUUUAAUGACUCAUGCAUUUUGGGAAAAAAACACAAGUUUUAAUGAAAUAGAAUUUUAUUGAAAAAGAAACAAAAAGGCUAAGAGCCUUAGGGGGAAGGAGUUUUUUUUACAAAAGUGUUGAGUGAAUAUUCAUGUCACUCCAUCCCCUAUUUAUAGUACAUAAAAAAUCUAGUUUGUUCCUAUUUAAACUCUAUAUGAUAAUAUUUAAGAGAUAUAAUUUGAAAUUAAAUAUAAACAAUAUAAUAAUUCUAACAAUAAUCCUAAAAAUAAAAUUAAAUUUAUACAAAGUCUUAUGUUCAUAAAUCUCUUCUUUGAAAUUUUACCCCAAGUCUUCUACACUUUGUAUUUUCAGCAGUACUUCUUCCCUAUUUUGCAUGCUGACCCGUUUUGUAUUUAAAUUCACGUUUUUUACCCCUAAAUUUCUUUUUACCUUCAAUUUAGUCCCUAUAAGAUAAAAAAGCAUAAACAACCCAAAUUAGUGGUAUUAUACUCAAUAUAUAUAUGUAAUUAACACAUAAAAGUAUGUCAUUUUCGAGUAUUAUCACUAGUAGCAGGUAUAGGUGUAGAAAAAUUUAGGCAAGUUCAAGAAGUUAACAAAAGAACGUCCUAUUCACAAUGUCAUCAUUGGUCUGUCACGGAUGACUCUUGAGUAGAAGGCAUCCAUCUAAUAGUGGUUGGUUUCCUUUUGAAUGGAAGAUUUCCUCUUGGAGCAGCAUCUUGUUGGUGAGUUGGGGCAACCUCCUUCUGAGUUGGGGUAGUUUCUUGUUGAUUUGAGGCAACCACUUGGUUGUGAACACCAAAUUUGUGUCUUUUGACCUAAAGGAAUAAGUGAAAUCCAUCAAAAAAAUUGCAUUUAUAAGUAAUAUAAUGGAGCAAAGGCAAAUGACUUACUAGAAUUUUUGCCAACUUUCUCCUUGUAACUCCUUUUAUUGUGGCCUUUUUUGUUGCAUUUACUGCACCUCAUUUUCGCCCCUCUCUUGGUCAACCUUUCUAUUGCUUGUGGUUUAUCAGAUUCUUUCCUUCUCACCUUAGUAGGUCUGCCACGUGGCUUUCUAAGUGUAGGAGGCAGUAUUGACAGCAUGUUUGACAUAGAUGCCCAUUACUUAGGACCGCUUAUUGGCCUUAUGAAAUUAGAGUUAAUGGCAAGCUGGGUUUGCUUUGUGUACCAAGUUUGUUUAUAAUUUUUUGGGAACUCAUCUUUUAGAUGAAUGACACCCACUCCAUGCAUGCAAGGGAUGCCAAUGAGAUCCCAAUUCCUGCAGGAGUAGGAAUUCUCAACUAGGUCCACCACAUGCUGACUACUUGGAUCACAUUCAACCUGAUACCUAUCUCCACCAACAUGUGAAGGAAAACACCUAAAAAAUAGUCACUAAAAUAAUAUUAAAAACAUGUGAUCAGCCCCACCAACAAUCAUACAUAAGGCAUAAAUAUAUUAAAAAAUGGCAAAAUAAAGACAUACAUGUAUUGGUCCAACAACAUGUGAUCAACCCCACCAGCUAUCAUAUACAAGGCAGAAUAAAGGCGUCGAUAUAUUAAAAAAUUAUCUAUUUACCUCAGUGAAUCUUUGAUAUUGACAUCUAGCUUUUUCUUGAUCUUUGGACACAAGAUUCUUUUAAUUUUUUUAGCUUUUUCUUUCUUCUUAACAAUAAACAACAUAAUCUUGGUCUUAAUUGUUUCCAUCAUGGUCAGAAUAGGUUUCCCUCUUACUUCCAAUAUCACCUACUAGUAAGUAACAUAAAAGAUUAGUGAAUUGCAUGUCCUUAAUGAUUAGUAACAUAAAAAAAAUAGGGGUUUACCUUGUUAAAACAUUCAAAAAUAUUAUUCACCAACAUGUCAGACUAGCUCCUAAUUGAGAAGUGGGACCUUGACCAGUGAGUAGGGUUCUUUCCUUCAACCAAUCAUAAGCAUGUUGAUUGGUAUUCUUCAGUUCAGCUAUGAGAUCCUCAAAAUCCCUUGGAGUGCUUGCUCUGGCAGCUUUCCAAAGCAAAUCUUUCAAUUUCUUUGUUAGGAAACCAACUUUCUUGAAAUUUGCAUGUAGAUGUCUAAGACAGUGUCUUGUUUCUACAUUAGGAAACAACAGAUAUAUUUUUUCUAAAAAUCCUUCAAAUAGAAGAAAAAUAAUUUAAUUCUUUGACAUAUCAUAAACCCUAAAUAGAAACAACAUAAAAACAAGUAGACAAAUCAACUAGUAUUACCUUUUGUUUGUCAGACAUGAAAGAUAUAUGGUAUGAGCUCACAAUUUCCAAGUCUAAUGCGAGCAACUCCAAGAACCAGAGCCAUGAUGCUUAGUUUUCACUUUAAACAGUAGCAUAUGCAAUAGGAUAGAUGUCAUUAUUUGCAUCUAUUCCAACAGCUUCCAGUAGGUAGCCACCAAAGUAGCUCUUCAUGAAACAUCAAUCUAAACCUAUUAUCCUCCUACAAACAACCCUAUAGCCAUCUUUGCAUACCUGCAGACAGACAGACAUUCUUUGAAACAACCUGUUAUCUAGAUAAUAGAUUGUUGUUGCUCUCUCAUUUUGGGUCUUAACGUCCAACAAAUACUCAUAAAUCUUCUCAUAUUGUGCCUUAUGAGCUCCUUCAAUUAAUUCAAAUGCCCUAAGUUUAGCCCUCCUACAUUUGGUUAGUGAGACAAGUCAAAGGAAAUCUUUUUUGACAUCUUGUUGCAAUGAUGUCAAAGAAUAAUCAGGAUUAGCAAUGAACUUUUCUUUAUAAUGUUUACCUAUACAAGCAGACGUUACAUUCUUAUUUUUAUAGACUUGAGAGCAAAUAUGGUUAGGGUUUGAACUCAUAAUUUGCCAAGUCUGGUCAGUAGAGUCACUAGGGUUUAGUCUAGAGGCCCAUCUGUACCAAAAACAUUUUGAACUACAAACUGCCUUUAACCUCUUUAGAUAAUAUUUUUGGGAACUUAAUCAAAUAACUAUUCAACCCACCAUACUACUUGGCAGCUUCUUUUAGACUAUCUUUGGACUUAAAUAACAUUCCAACCUUUAGUUUAGGACUACUCAUGUCAUUGUCUAGGUUGAACUUAGGCCAAUUUAGGCCAUCUGAGUCAUAUUCAUGUGCAUUAUUUAACCUCUCAGAAUCAUCACUAUCACACAAUUCCCUUACUUCUAUAUCAUCCAUGUUUAAACCAUUUAGAUUAACCAUAAUCCUAUUAGACAAAUCACUAUCAUAUACAUCACUAACAGACACAUCAAAAUUAGACAUUUCUUCUUCAGUCUCAUUAAAAUUAUCAUAAAUUAAAGAUACCAAACAAAUUUAACAUCAAUAAAGGAAGACAACAACCAAACAAUUUAAUACAACAUGACAGACAAUAACCAAUACAAUAUAAAAGCUAAAGAAUAAAUUUAAUCCAAUUCAUAUUUGAAACUAGGAACAGAUUUCUCUAUAACCAAACAAUAACCAAACUUGAUACUGUUACUCAUAAAAAUAGGAACGAAUUUGUCUCUUUCCUAAGGCAAUUCGUAUGCAAAUGGCAGACAAUAAGUUACAAAAAUCCAAUCCUACAAUUCAGUUUGAUAAAAACAAUAAACAUAUUUUCCAUGUACAUUUAAAAUACUCAUAAAUCAUAUUUGAAUAGUUAAAUUAGUUUGAUACAAACAAUAAACAUGACAUACAUAGUAUCAUGCAUAUGGCAAACCAUACAUAGUAUCUACCAUUCACUUUAAUAACCAGACCUAAACCCCAUGUGAAUAACAAAUGAAAUCAAACUUUGUCAUGGACUUUAAUAACAAAUGAAACCAAAAUCUGGCAUAAACCCUAUUUGAAUGCAACAUUUUUCAACUUUUAAAUCUAGACAACCCUAAAUGCAAAAAAUAAAAAACCAAAUACAGAAACUUACCCAUUACAGCGGAUGUAACAACAUUGGCAACUUCUUUUCUAUUAACCAAUGUGGCUAAAAACCAAAAACACUGAUAAGUUUCCCUUUUUGUCUUCUUUUCUCCCCAAACAAAAAAAACAAUUGAUUUCUAACCCUAAACCCUAUUAAUCAAUUUCCUAAUGGAUUUUCUAACCUUAAACCAACCUUGUUAAUCAGUUCUCCAAUAGAUUUCUAACCUAGAACCCUAUUAAUCGAGUUUCUUUUCCUCCUCCCCUUAAUCACAAUCAAUUUCUAUUUUUUUACCCUAAACCCAUCUAUUAAGUUUUUUUUCCCUAAACCCGAGUCAAACCUUGACCCUUCCAAUGCUUCACCAACGUGCAAGUUAAUUGGCCACAUCAGCUAGUUAACUUGCCACAUCAGUGGUCUUAUUAAGACAGUAAUGGAAAAUGUUAAUAAGUGACGUAUUUGUACUUUUAAUAAGGUUAGUGGCUGAUUUGUUAUUUUUCGAAAAUUGUGUGACAGAAUUGAAACCUGAGUGAUUGUUUUGUCAGUUACCCUCAAGUUGAGUGAUUGUUGGUAUAAUUUACCGAUAAAUUUAUAAUUACUUGUGGUUUUAUAUUCAAAUUGAAUCUUUUAGUUAAUUUUAAUUUACAAAGGAAAAAAUUUACGUAGGGUCGCUUUUACAAAUAAAACAUGAACUAUUCUUUCAUAAAAACACUUUUAUAGUGUGAAAAGGACAUGAUUCUCAAUUGUAUAAGUCAAGGUCUUUUGUAAUUCGUAUUAAUGCAUUGUUUAAUAUCAACAAGGAAUCUUUAGCCCCUUCUUUCUAUCUAUGUCUUCCUCUCAUUUUCCUUUGAUGUGAUGGCUUAAACUAUGUAGAAUAACCAAUAAUUAUACCAAAUUCUAUUAAUUUUUUUUUAUAUUUGAAAUCAAAUUCUCAAUUUUAAUAAUAUGUAAAACAUAAAUAAAUAAUUUCAACUUAAAAUAUAUUUUAAUGAAAACGUGUUUGAUGGAGAUCCUCAACAUAUUCUUCACGGUUGCUCCUAAAUUCUUUCUAUUAACCCCAUUGGAAACAUGAAUUGAAAGAAUGACCACUUUUCCCUACAUUGGCGUUUUUCAUGCGUUGAACAUUAUUGGGUUGCCUUUUACACUUUCUUCCAUUCAAACAUGAAUUUGUAAAGUGGCCUCCUUUUUCACCAUUUAUUUCACACAAGCUUUCCACAAGAAAUCUUAUUUUAAGACUGCAUUAUUCAUGUUUGGGCCAAACACAGAAUUAUUUUUCAUCUCUCCAUUGCUUCCACCCUUUAUCCUUUUCAACUUUUUACCUUACUUUCCAUUUUAAUUAUUCAUUGUUUUAUUUAACAAAAUGAUAUAAUACCUGUUAAGUUGUUCUUAGAAAAAUUAAUAAACGCGAGAGAAAUAAAAUUUCGAGGUGAAAUUUCACCUCAAACAUAUAAUUAAAUUUAUCAAAAUUUAUUAACAUUUUCUAGCAAGCCAUUAAAUUUUUUUUUUUUAGCAUUGUAGGCAUUUUUUUAGCACUAAACACAAAAAUAUCAAAUCACAAAAUUCAUAGUUGUAGAGGUAUGAUUAGAUACCCGCCUACAUUGGUCCCCAUUAUAUGUCACUCAAAAUCUCAUAAUCAUCCCCAAAAAAAUUAGAAAUUAUCACUUCAGUUAAUUAAAGCAAGAACAAAUAAAUUGUUUGUUAUUUUGAUCACUUAGGUUUUAGACAUUUUUAUUUUGAUUACUCUUUAUUAAAUGGUUAAUGAAAUUUAUGAUGUGAUCUUUUUUCUAAUUGAUAUAAAUAACACAUUUAGUCCUCAAUACUUACACAUUCUAUCAAUUUGAUCUUUAAACACAUAUAAUUAAAUAUAAAUUAUAUAUUAUGAAAACGUACAAAUAUAAUUAUUUAUAUAUAUAUUUAUCUGAAUAAUAUUAUAUGUGUUUAUAUUUAAGUAUAAUUAUAAGGCUCAAAUAUGCAUUUAGCCCCCCGAACUUGACACAUUCUCCUAUGUUGGUACUUAUGAUUUUUUUGUCCCAAGUUGGUACUCAAAUUUUCAUUCCGUCAAGGGCUUUGAUGCUUUUUUUUUUUUGGUGACAAUAUUAAAUAUAGGACGCAUGACACUCUUAGGAUGCCAUAAUCUAUUUUUUUUAUAAAAAUAUAAUAAAAAAUUUAAAAGAAAAUAUAUGAAAUUUAUAUAAUUUUUUAAAAUAUAAAAGAAAUUAUAAAUUAUAAAAAAUAUAUGUAUCUAAAAAAUUAAAAAUAUUACAAAAAUUGAAAAUAAAUCUAAAAUCCAAGUUAGAAAAAUAAAAAAAACCUGAAAAUUUUACACCUUUUUCAAAAUAAAUUGUAAACAAAUUAGAUGAAGAUAAAUUUUACAAUAAAUUUUAUGCUUAGAGAUAGGUACAAAUUAUUACACGAUUUUCCAAGUUAACAAGAAUGCAAAAGAUGAUGAUUUGAAAAAGGUUUACCAGAAGCUUUUUCGUUUUCCUUUUUUUUUUUUUGUUAAUUAUUUGCUAGGUGGUAGGAAAAAUCUGGUUCCUUUGUUGAUAAUACUAUUAGUAUGAUCACGAAUGAAGUUUAUAAAAAUAACAAAUUUACUAAGUUUUUGGGGGUUUUGAGUUUUGUGGUUUACAAAUUUAUAUAUAAGUUUAUCAACAUUUAGUUUUAUGUGUUGAAAUAUAUUUAUAUUUAAUUAUAUGUGUUUGAAGAUAAAAUUGAUAUAAUUUGUAAAUAUGGAGGGUUAAAUUUAUUGAAUCAUUUUGAAUUAGAAUUAAAUUGAUAGAAUAUAUAAGUAUUGAAGAAUAAAUGUAUUAUUAUAGCAGUUAGAAAAGGCAACAUCAUUGUUAACUAUUUAACGAAGAGUGACCAAAAUAGAAAUAAUCUAAAAUGUGAGAAAACAAAAUAGAAAUGAUCUAAAAUGUUAGUGACUAAAUUAAAAAUUUUCAUAGUUGGGUGACCAAUUCUAUAGUUUACCCUAGAUAGUAGAAGCAAUUAGGAUUAAUUCCACCAAACAUCUCAAACUAUUACUCAUAUUUUAAAUUGCACCCUAAACUUGUAUACAUUCUAAUUAAAUCCUCAAAUUAUCAAUAUUGUAUCAACCAGGUCCUUCUGCCAAUUUAGCUAUCAAUUUGAGCAUUAAAUGUCAGUUUGGAUAUGAUGUAAAACAUAUUUAAAACACGUGGUUGAAAUUGUAAAUAUGUAUGUAUUUAUCACAUGGAUAACUUUGAUAUCACAUAUUAAAAAAACAACGGCAAUAACAUUUAAGAAUCUUUUUCAUUUUCUAAAUAUAUGUUUAGCAUGUUAGAUUCAAGUAGUUUAUGGAAUAGAUGCAAACAUAUUUACAAUUUGAUCUACAUUUGUGCUUUUAAAUAUUCUAUAUGUUAGAUUUAAAGGUGUUCAUUGGUUGGGCUUGGACUUAAGUUUUUAACCUUGGGCCAGCUGAACUAGGCCCAUUUUAUUAUUAAAAAAUAAAAAUAAUUUUAUAUUUAUAUAUUUUCAUAAUUAAAUUUUCAUAAUUUUACUAUCUUUUAAAUAGUGUAAUGGGCUAUUUGGCCAAGCCGAACCCUAGCCUAGAAUUUUUUUUGAAACCGAACCUAUGUUCGAUUUAAUCUAUGAACACUUCUAAUUAGAUUCACUUAUUAUUUUUAAAUUAACAAUUAAACUGACAAAAAGACUUAACUGAUAAGAUUUUAAGAUUCAAUUACAUGGUUUCAAAAAUUUAUCACACGAAGUUACAACAAAAAGUUAAACUUUGCGUACAACUCUGUUGUUAGCUUGAUUGAUUUCUUACUACUUAUUAAUAUCUUUUGUUACUUAACACAUUUGACUUGAAGAUAUUUAUAGCUAUUUCAAAUACUGGAUUUCCGUGCACUUAUUUUUAUACUUUUCAUUGGAUUAAUUAUAUAUUUUGAGAAAAUAUAAUAUUUGAUGCUAACUAUUAUAAAUAAAUAUUAAUAACUCUCGGAUUUAAGAUGUUGAGUUUAAGGGUUUAGGAUAUAAAGUCUAGGGUCUCAUGUUUGUUUAGGGUUUUGGCAUUUAUUUAUAGAUAAUUAUGUUUCAAUAAAAGUAUUAGUAUUCAUUUAUAAGUUUUCACUAAUUUUUUAGUUUAUUUAAUAAUGAUGUAUCAUGUUAUUAUUCACUGAGAGUGCAAAGAACUUAUGCACCAAUGAUACAUCAAAUAUUAUCUAAAAUCAAAUUUAUAAUAUGAGAAAUCCUUUUAUAAUAAUUUGUAAGAAAAAAGUUGUCGAAAAUUUUCCACUACUAAUUUUAGAAAUAAUUUCUGAAUAUAUUUAUCCAAUUAAAUAUAUAAAAAUAGAUGAGUAUGGUGAUAUCUAUAAUUUCACAAAAACACUUACAUUGAUCUAAAUCAAGUAAUUUCUUUUUAUAAAUUCAAUUCCAAAUCUCUUCCGUAAUAAAUCAACCUCACAAAAUAUAUAUCCAACAAAUCUGGUUCAGGUUAAAAACAAAGAACACAUGUAUUCAGCAAUUAAAACCAUGAUUCAAAUUCAUUUCAAAGAUAUAAUUUUGCAUUAUUUUACCUCCUUUCGUUCUUGACAAACUCUUUGGAAUAAGUUAACCAUUCUUGGAGUAUCUAUUCCUUAUUGAAACUUUUUGGGUUUUCUUUUUUUACUAAGCAAUAUCAAUUUUAUUAAAAAGAUAGAAAAACAAACUAUACAAACCAGUGCAGCUAGCAAAAACACAUCAGAGAACAUUGCCAUGAGAGAGGACCUAAGAAAACAUAAUACAUACUACAUAACAUACAAUAAAGCACCCACACAAAAAAUAUAUUAAACUGCUACAGAAAAAGGCCUGCAUACCACCAAGCUACGAAGUUUUCUGUUCUGUUUGCAACUUGUUGACCUCACCGAAGAGUUGGCUUCUCUACCUUUUUGCAAAUCUUUGUCGAACUCGCUCGACGAUCUUGAUCAACCACCAUGGUUUUCCUGUCGUGAAUACAAUGUAUCCCAUGCUCAUUCCCAGAACCAACCCACAUCCAUACCCCAUCAAUAUAGAAAAUUUCCAAUUCAAUUCAUCACCAUCAUCAUCAUCUCUAUCAAAUUUGGCUGGAGUUUCCUCAUCAGUAUCACAGCUUUUUGAUAAUGGCAAACCACAUAAAUCCAGAAUUCCAAUGUAGGAAUCAUUAGUGAAGGUAUCAAAUUGUUUGCCUCGAGGAAUGGGUCCCUUGAGAUUAUUUUGAGAAAGGUUUAACACCUCUAAGAAUCCAAGAUUUUUUAGCUCUGUCGGAAUUCUUCCUUCCGAGUUUCUUUGUUGAGAGAUCUAAUGAUUCAAGCUCUGACAAAUUACCUAAAGAUGAUGGGAUAGGACCUAUUAAACAGUUAUGGGAGAGGUUUAGGACAAUAAGUAAAUGAAGCUCACCAAGUAUUUUUGGAAUUUCUCCCGAGAAUUGAUUACUAGAAAGGUCAAUAAUCGUCCAAAUGGAUAAUAGUGAUUCAAACUCUGUUUCCAACUUUCUUGUCUUUUUACCAAGUAUAUCUUUCAUGUACCCUGGUUCAACUUUCUUUCCAUACCAUUGCAAUGAAGGUGGUGGUGUUUGAAUUCGGCCUUGGAGAUAAAAUUAGAAUAGAGUUAGAAUUAAGGAUUUGAAGAUUCUUUGGAAUAUAAAAUGCAAAAUAACUACAUAUUUUAUGUAAUACAUGUAUGUUGUGUAUAACCAAUAAAAAUAGUUGGUACUACACUACUUCUAACCAUUUUUAGAUGCACGAGAACAAUUUUUAAGUUUUAAUCUAUCGAAAGAAUCUACUACAUUCUAAACUAAAUUUUAUUUCCAUUACUUAAAAUAAAAAGAGAUUGCAUAAAUGUAUACAAAUAUUAAAUAAAAAUAAAAAUGAAAUUAUACCUAACAGUUUGUUAUAAAAGAGAUAAACAUAUGUAAAAUAAGUCAUGCACUCCAUUUCUUUCUUAUUCAAAAAUAUCAACUAUGGCUGAGCAACAAUUAAUUCAACACGUAAAUAAUAAGGCAACUCUAAAGGGUAGUAGAAAUAGCUAGUUACAAGUCUAGUCUGUUUCAAAAGGGUACCAAAUUAAAAUUAUAAUCUUAAAUUAAAUCAAAAAGUAUCGAAUAAUUAAUGGAAUUUCAGCUAAAACAUAUAAUUAAAAUUGUCAAAAUUUAUUAUUAUUAUUUUUUAACUGACCUUAAUUUUAAUGCGGAUAGGUAUAAGUCUGAAACAUAUAAUAUAUACUCUGUUUCUCUGUAAUCAAACCUAGAACUCAUGUACUCUGUUUCUUUCCUAUUCAAUAAUAUCAACUAUGGCUGAGCAACAAUUAAUUCUAACACAUAAAUAAUAAGGUAAAUUUAAAGGCUAGUUACAAGUCUUGUGUGAUUCAAUAAUUUUUCACUAUUCUGUUUUCGAAAGAUAGCAAAUUAAAAUUCAAAUCUUAAAUUAAUUUAAUGGAAAAUUUAAUUCUUUUCUCAUCAUCAAAUAAUUUUACUUAAAGAAAAUACAAGUUAAUAGAGGUUAACUUUGUUGACUACAUGUGGAUUGCAACAUUAAUAAUUAAUAAUUUUUAAAAAAAAUUAAAAUUCAAAAAAAAAUUACUAAAUAUUUUAAAUUAAAAAAAAAUUAAGUAAUCAUUAAUGUGGCAUACACGUGAACUGCCACAUGGAUGUCAUGUCAUAAAGUUAAUAGAUGUUAACUUUUCUAUUCAUUUUGAAAUAAUUUGACAAAAAACAAAAACAAAAAUUAAAUAGAUGAUUAAAAUAACUUUUUUAUAAACUUAAAGGACCAAAUAAGUCAAUAGGUCAAAAUUUUUAUAAACCAAGCCAUUACUAUAUGGAUACAUGGAAAAAAAAAAAACAAACAUUUUUGCACAUACAGACAUAUUUUUGAAAAAUUAACUCGGAAACCACGCCACAUGACAUUCAACAAAUCAUUAAAUCUUUUGAUCAACCAAUGAAUUUUUUUUCCUAAUUUAGGAGACUCAAGUAUAGAACCAAGGAAGUUGUUGAUUACGGUAUAAGAAACGGAAACUAUCAAUGGUGUUAUUGGUGAGGAGAAAAUGAAUGUAAAUCCAAGAGAAGUGUUGAAUUAUCCCACGUUUUUUUAAAGCCAAAAGUAAGAUAUUUAGGAACUAAAAGUUUAUAAAACUAAUUAAUAUUAUAUAUAAAAUCUAACCAUAAGGUUAGGUGAGAUGGCAAGGGUCUCUUCUACCUUAAUAAGUGGUUGAGGGUUAAUGACCUACAAAAAAAAAGCAGCGGACUUAUGGAGAAAGUUAGAAACCCUAUACUUGACAAAGUCUCUUCCUAAUCAUUUGGUGCUAAAGUAGCGGCUAUACACAUUCUGUAUGGUAGAAGAUGAGUCCAUCAGGGAUAACAUCAGUGAGUUUUUUUUCUCUCUUGAAUGAUUUGAAGAACAUCGAGGUUCAUAUUGAUGAUGAAGAUCAGACUAUGCUACUACUGUACUUUUUGCCCCUUCAAAUAAGUCUUUUAGGAAGACCCUGAUUUAUGGUAGAGAUAAACUCUCGCUCAAGGAUGUGAAGGGAAACUUGUUGAGCAAAAACAAACUCAACAAUGAGUUUGGUUCGAGUAGCAGGUCAGGUUGGCAACCCUCAGUGUUUGUUGCGAGAAACAAGUUUGGAUCAAAGUCAAGGAAUCAAGACAAGGUAUGUGAUUACUGCAAGAAGUUGGGUCACAUUAAGGCAAAUUAUUAUAAACUGUAAAAUAAAAAUAGGAGGGUUGCUGAGAGCAAGGAGAAAGAAGUAGUUGAUGCUAAUAUGGCCGAAGUCAAGGGUAAUGAUUGGUUGUUGGUGUCUACAAUCGAAAGGUCUAAGUUUACGUCCGAGUGGAUCCUAGAUUCAAUGUGUUCUUUCCAUAUGAGUCCUAACAAGGACUGGUUUUCCACAUACAAUUAAGUUGAUGGUGGAGUUGUGCUUAUGGAAAAUAAUUCAUCCUGUAAGAUAACUAGUGUUGGUACCAUUUAGAUCAGGAUACACGAUGGGACAGCCAGGGCACUAUCAAAUGUCAAACAUGUGCUUGAUUUAAGGAAGAAUCUCAUCUCUUUGAGUAUGUUAGACUCAAACUGUUGUAGAAUCAUCAUUUAGUCAAGCGACAUUAAGGAAUUUCAUGAAGCUCUCAUUUUGAUGAGAGGUCAAAAGACCAACAGUCUAUAUAUUCUUCAUGGUUCAAUUGUGACUAGUGUAGCAGUAAUUUCCUCGACAAUUAUGGAGUCAAAGUCGACUCAACAUUGGUAUAAGAAAUUUGACUCUUUCAGGUUAAGCAUUGGUUUUGCAAUUAAGAGUCUUUUACUUUUCAAGUUCAGACACUAGUUUGGACUUGGUUAGUAUCCUGCAAAGGUCCAGAUAAGUCGUGACGGACUCAAAAAAUGAGGUAUGAGAAAAUACAAGUCAAGGUGGAGAUUUGUGGAGUGUGCCUCGUACUUAUGAUACGACAUUGUGGCAAGGAAGAGACAACGCUCCAACGACGCAACACUCGAUGUCUCAACGAGAAGAAAACGAUGUGACGACUUGUUUCCCAAUUCAAUCGAAUUUUUUCUCCUAGUUAAACGCUGCUAUUUUUCCUAAUCAAACUCUGAUUAGUCUAGGUUAUUUUAGUCAUAUUUAAUUUACAAAUUUAUCUUACAAAAGGAGCCAUUGUAACCUAGAAUAAUCACUUCAGAUUAAUCUUCCUCAUCUUUAAGAUUGAGAGAGUUUUGUGAGCUUUUAAGUGAAUUUGGGUUUUAGCUAGAGUGAUUUAUUUUUUUAGGUUUAGGGUUUCUGUUAAGAAUAUCUCCAUCUUGUACUUUUUUAGUUUUUGCUCAUUAAGUAAAGUCUGUUUUGUUUAUCAUUUUUUGUCCUCUUCAUUGGAGGAAUUUUUCCGUGUAGAUAUUUGUAUGUUUGAUCUUCUUUACUUUUAUUUUCUCGCUGUUUAUACAGGUCGAUCUCCCCCCCCAAAAUACUACUAUGUUAAGAAACUAAAAGAUUGAAAAGUUAAAAUAAACUAAAGCAAUAUAUUUAAAAAAGAAAACGGAAAAAAAUUUAUAUCGUAAUUAGAUCUUUGUGCAAGUUACAAUGAAUGAAAACAAUUUUAGAUUGUUUUCUCACAAACACUGACUUCUAUUCUUAUCUUUAGAUUGUGUUUACCUUUAUCGCCUACUUCACUAUUACUCAUCUUUCUUGUUAAGUCAAUCUCUAGGUUUUGAAAUAUAUGAAACAAACAAUAUAUAUAGAUAUAUCUUUCUGAAAAUUUUACCAUAUAUGGUCACCAUCAAACAUAAGAACCAAAGAAAAUUAUUACUUUGAUUAAUUCAAGACAAGUACAAACAAUAAUUGUGGAUGAACAAAUACAAGAAUCAAAGAAAAAUGAUGGAUCAGAAGCCAAGAUGAAGCCAAUUUCUACCAUAAUAUUAAGGUUUGAUGUGGGUAUAAGGCAAAUCAUAAAGAGUGGAAUAACUAAAUUUAAUAAUUUUUAAUCAUUCUUCAAAAUCUUUAAAAUUUUGAUUCCAAUGAUUUAGGUACAACAUCCCUUGACUUACAAUUUAAGUAAAAAAUACAUAUAACAUUGUGCUUAAAAGUGUUCAUAAAUAAAGUGGCUUGACUUUCUAUGAAUCAAACUCAAAUUUAAUUUUUUCAACUUUAAAAUGGCCCAACCCAACUUAAUUUAAUUGUUAAAAAUAAAAUAUGAUAAAUGUAAGCCCAUGAACACCUCCAAUUGCACUCUAACCACAAUAUUACCCAACACAAAAUGAAAGCGUAAAAUGCAAGAGUUAGGCAAUAGUGGCACUAUAAUUAAGGCCCCAACUAGAUAAAAACAGAUUCAAGAUAGCAAUGUAAAUAAAACAGAUUCAAGAUAAGAAUAAGAAUAAGAGUUCUUCGGGUGUGUAACGGAUGGGGGUAGGAUUUGUUCUGAUGUGAUAUUUGUUUAUGAAUAAAUGGAGUUUUGUGUUGAUAUUUGCAUAUGUGCAUAUUAUAAAUAAAUUUUGUAAGUGGGCCAAGUCACACACUAGACUUCUAGCUCACUCAUUUGUUUUAUACGUUUCAAGUGACCCUCAAACUUAAGACUUGGCGGCGACCCCGGAGCUUAGUUUAGACAUUUUAAACUUUAAGAAUUUUUUUACUUAUUAUGAACUUUUCGGACUUUCGGACUUUUUAAUUUGUUUUUGGGACAUUAAUUUUGGUAUUUUUUUAUUUUGCAAACAUAAUAUUUUAAUUGGUAUUUCUAACAAAGUCGGUAUAACUGAUGAACCACUAUGAUUUUCAAAAUUAAAAACUCUAAAGAAAUUUUUUCAUUGCAUAUGUUUUGAAAUCAAUAAAGUGAGUAUGAGAUAUACCGGAAAAGCUGGCCUUGAGCCGGUGGUUAUUAACAGGCCUUAAGCAUGUGUUUAUUUAGCAGGCCUUGAGCCCGUGGUUAUUUAGCAGGCCUCGAGCCGGUGUUUAUUUAGUAGCCCUUGAGCUAGUGGUUAUUUAGCAAGCUUUGAGCCAGUGUAUAUUUAACAGGUACUAUGUACCAGUGAAGGAUACUGUACUGGUGGCUUGAGAUCCUACAUGUGUUGCGGAUUCUCUGAAGCUUGUGUGAGUAGCAUCAUGCAUCAGCUAAAGUCCUUAUCUUAGCUUGUAUGAGCAUUAUCCUUCUGUGUAUCCGAAUUGAAUUUACUAUUAAUAUUUGGGCAAAAUAAUUAACUAUUAAAAGAAAAAUGUUAUGAGAUGAUAUGUUAAUUUGUAUUUCAGUAGAUAUUUAUUUGACACAUUAUAUUUUGAUGAAUCUUCUAGGUUUAAGUGUUUUGGAAAGUUGAAACAAUGAUUUAUGGUAAGGGUUGUUGGUUUCAUGUUUUGUAUGUUUUAUAAUUGGAUUAAUAGGUAUGUCUUGUUUUGAUUUAUGAACUUACUAAGCUUAAUGAAAGCUUACUUUAUGUGAUUGUAUGUCUUUGUAGAUUGUCAAGUUUUUGUUGUCGAUUGGAAAGUCAUUGGAGAUCACACUAUCUGGCAACUCAUUCGGUAGUUAUUCGUUAAUUUUGGCCCGAUUAUAAGCGGUAUGUAAAUAGGGUUUUGGAUAUGUAAAUUAAUUAGUAUUUUGGUCCUAUCAUGGACACUUGAAAUUAUGGUUGUGUAUUGAUGUAAAUCAUAUUUGGUAACUUGGUUAGUUGUGGUUUGUGAUAGUGGUUGCAUAAGUUGAUAUCUAGAUGCAUUUAAAUGGUUGUAUUGGUAGUUUAGGUUAAUAGGCAACCUUGAAAUGCUUUGUGUUUGAAGAAUGAUUAAUUUAGUCAUGGUAAGAUAUGAUAUUAUGAUAAGUUGAAUGAACAUUUGAUGAUUUGAAUAUGAUUGAAUAUUGAUGUGUUAUUUUGCAUUUAAAGGAUGAAAGAAUUUACUUGUAGUACAUGUUAGAUUGGAUGAUGGGUGUUUAUGAUUCAAAUUGAGGUUCCAUUGAAGGCAUAUUGGUUAGACAUUUAGGUUGGAUGAUUUUAUUAUGUUUUGGCAUGUUUUAAUGUGUUUUGAAUAGGUAAAAAUGCUUGAAAAUGGUUUGGCUUCAAACUAUAAAAAUGGUAGAUGAAAAAUCUUGGUUUUGAAGUUAUUUUUGGUGCACACGGCCUAGGACACUAGCUGUCACAUGACUGUGUGCCACACAUGGUCGUCCACACGGCCGUAUGGUUGUUUGAUUUUAGGUGAAAGUUUUUUCACAUGAUCACAGUUAGUUACAUGGCCUGAGAACACUGGCAUGUGGGGUAGCCACACGGGCGUGUUUGGGGACACACGGACUAGCCUCUGUCGUGUGACCCCUUUUUACAGUUUGUUCAAAUUUUCAUAGAAAUUUCAAUUUAACCUAGAAUUGAUCCCGGUUUGUUUUAAAUGUUUCGUAAGCUUGAAUUAGGUCCAAAAUUGAUUGAAAAGCAUGGAAAUGGUUGAUGAUGAAUUAUUUUGAUUAUCUUUAAAUAAAUUAUGAAAAAUGUUAAAAUUUCAUAGCUGUAAGACCUUAUAGUCUGGGUUGGUAACCUGAUCGAGUAUAAGGUGUUACAAAGGUUCAAUUGUGACUGGUGUAGCAGUAAUUUCCUUGAAAAAUUAUGGAUUCAGAGUCAACUCACAUUGGUAUAAGAAAAUUGACUCUUUUAGGUUAAACAUUGGUUUUGCUAUUAAGAGUCUUUCAGUUUUCAAAGUUCAAAUACAAAUUUUGACUUGGUUAGUUUCUUGCAAAGGUUCAGGUAGGCUGUGACGGGUACAAAAAAUGAGGUAUGUGAAAAUACGAAUCAAGGUGGAGAUUUGUGGAGUGUGCCUCGUAUUUAUGAUACAACGUCACGACAAGAAAGAGACGACGACAUAGCACUCGAUGUCCCGAUGAGAAGAAAACGACGUGGUGAUGUGUUUCCCAAUUUAAUCGAAUUUUCUUCUCUUAGUUAAACUCUGUUAUUUUUUCGUAAUCAAACUUUGACUAGUCUAGGCUAUUUUAGUCAUAUUUAAUAUACAAAUUUAGCCAAUAGAAGGGGCCUUUGUAACCUAGAAUAAUCACUUAAGAUUAAUCUUCCUCAUCUUUAAGAUUGAAAGAGUUUCGUGAGCUUUUAGGGGAAUUUUGAGUUUUAGCUAGAGUGUUUUAUUUUUUGAGGUUUAGGGGUUUAGGUUUUUUAUUAAGAUUAUCUCCAUCUUGUGCACUUUUAGUUUUUGCUCAUUAAGUAAAUUCUCCUUUGUCCAUGAUUUUUUGUCCUCUUUAUUGAAGAAAUUUUUUCACGUAAAUAUUUGUGUGUUUUAUCUUCUCUACUCUUAUUUUCUCGUUGUUUAUACGGAUCGAUCCAAAAAAAAUACUACUAUAUUAAGAAACUAAAAGAUUGAAAAGCUAAAAUAAAGUAAAAUAUAUAUAUUUAAAAAAAUAUUUUUUUUACCGUAAUUAGCUCUUUGUGCAAGUUACAAGGAAUGGAAAUAGUUUUAGAUUGUUUUCUCACAAACACUAAAUUAUAUUCUUUAUUUUUAGAUUGUGUUUAUUGUUAUCUCCUUCUUCACUAAUUCUUAUCUCAAUCUCUAAGUUUUGAAAUAUAUGAAACAAACAAGAUAUAUAGACACAUCUUUUUGAAAAUUUUACCACAUAAUGGUCACCAUCAAAUAUAAGAACCAAAGAAAAUCAUUACUUUGAUUAAUUCAAGACAAAUACCAAACAAUAGUUGUGGAUGAACAAAUAUAAGAACCAAAGAAACAUGAUGGAUAAAAAGCCAAGAUAUGAAGCCAAUUUCUACCAUAAGGUUAAGGUUUGGUGUGGGUAUAAGGCAAAUCAUAAAGAGAGGAAUAACUGAAUUUAAUAAAUUUUCAAUAUCUUUAAAAUUUUGAUUCAAAGGAUUUAGACACAACAUCCAUUGACUCACAAUUUAAGUAAAAAAUGCAUAUAAUAUUAUGCUUAAAAGUGUUCAUGAACAAAGUGGCUCGGAUUUCUAUGAGUCAAACUCGAGUUUAACUUUCUCAACUUUAGGAUAGCCCGACCCAACCUAAUUUUAUUGUUAAAAAUCAAAUAUGAUAGAUGCAAUCCCAUGAACACCUCCAAUUACACUGCAACCACAAUAUUACACAACACAAAAUGAAAGUUUAAAAUGCAAGACUUAGUCAAUAGUAACACUUAUAAUUAAAGCUCCGACUAGAUAAAAACAGAUUCAAGAUAGCAAUGUAAAUAAAUUAUAGAGUAAGUAUGGCAUGAAACAAUUACGUCACAUUAGCAUAAGCCUUUUUCAAUCAAAUCAUGUCACGUAAUCGCAUUUCUAAAAACAAUCAACUAUUUAUUAAUUGAAUCUUUAAUGAAUUGCUAAAUUAAUUUGUUAUCAUUUAAUUAUCACAUGAAAUGUAUAAUUUAUUUUUUUAAUUUUUCAAAGUAUUCACGAGAGCAAACCAAUAAAAUGAUUGGUUAAUUUACUUCACAACAUUUUGCAUUUUCUAGAAGUUUAAGAAAGACUUUUAAGAUUUAAAAUAUAUUAAAAGGAAAUUACUACAAUUACCUUUCAACCUAAACUUUAGGUAAUUUUUAUUUUGAUUAUGGAUUGUAUAAAUUUAAUAAAGAAAAUGGGAAAAAAAAAGAAAUUAUACCUGUUAAAUUUGUAAUAGCCCAAUUUGCCCGGCCCAUAAUAAAAAACCAAAUAAUUUUUUUUUAAAACCAAAUAGUUCACAGCCCAUUUACAAUGUAAAAGUCCAGUUACGAAAAAUAAGCCCAAAUAUUACAGAGCCCAAUAAACCAAACCCAAGUGGCCCAAAUACCCUAGCAACAGUCGGCUCCCAGCACCACAGCAGCCAAACCCUCCUCUGCGCAUGCCAAUCCUCUGCCCUCACGUGCACCUUCGUACUCUCUACGUCCACCGCCUCCGUACACAGUACCUGCAAAUAGAACAAAAAUAACGCAACAGAAAAGAAAAAAUUGUAUUUUUUCUCUGUUUUUAUUUCAUUUUGAAUACGGGGUUAUAAAAGGGGGAGAAAAUAUUUGUAAGUUUUUCACAGAGACAAAAUCAUUAGAAAAAGAAAUCAAAAUUUGAGAUAAGGUGAUUUUUUCUUUUCUUUUUGCGUUUUUUUAUUUUUAUUAAUCGUAUGUAAAAAUAAAAAAUAAAAAAGGAGAAGAGGGAGGCUUACCUAGCCUUCAGAUCUGCUCAAAGGGGGUUAAAAAACCAACUCGGCGUGCCUCCGACCACCGAUCACGGCGAAACUGUGGUGGAAGUGUGGUGAAAAAGCGGCGGCUGAAGCUGGGGUAAAACCCGAGUAGAGAAAAAGCAACAACCCUUUUUUUAAAAAAAUAAAAAGCCUAGGCUGUAUUGGUUUUCUUUUUUUAGAAAAUUUUAGUUUAAAUACACAUAAUAUGACGCCGUUUCGAGUCAGGGUUCAUAGGCGUCAAAACGACGCCGUUUAAGGCCAUAACUCGCGCGACCCGACCCGCUCCUGAGGGAUCUGUUUUUGAGCUUUGUGAUAUUUAUCCCCUGGUACAUCCGCAUUUGCAGGGUGUUCCAAU
RNAcentral lists this long non-coding RNA (38020 nucleotides) under Gossypium raimondii (Peruvian cotton). RNAcentral's name for it is "long non-coding RNA (GRAI_LNC005904)". The record is from RNAcentral. Lineage: Eukaryota; Viridiplantae; Streptophyta; Magnoliopsida; Malvales; Malvaceae.